UACGUAUCAUCCCAUUGUUAUACUCAAUGUACUGUGAUCAUCCGUAAAAUACUGAGAUCAACGCUAUAAUAUCUUUUACAGUAUCAUUCGGUUUUCUUUCGCGCGCGUAUGAUCUCAGGUUUGACUGAAGGUACGGAAACGAUACGUACGCCUUUCUACCGCGCGCGUAAAAUCUCAGGUUUUACUCAAAGUACUGAGAUGGUAUCGUACUCGUGUCUUGCGCGUGCGUAUAAUCUUCAAUUAUACUCAAGAUAUGAAAACGGUACGUAUAUCAGCGCCAUCUGCAUCCGUCAUUUCUGUUCCGAUCUUUUUCCGGUAGCAGUACGUGGAGUGACAUGGCGACGUGCAAUCCAGGAAGAAAACAGUGUGAUUGAUAUCAAAGUUUAAGGUUAUCUGUUGGCGUUCUCGGAUAAUAACCGAAGUGGAGAUUCAACCGGACAUUCAGGAGAUAGAGGCGAUCCCGGUGGAGAUACCGUGCGAGACCGUGGAGACGAUCGAGGGCGAGGACGAGCAGCCGAUGAUAGCGCUGCAGCCGCUGCCGGCCGGCUUGGUUGCAAAGUAAAAAGCAUAUGCAAGUACCAAGUCCCUGAGGUGCAUUUCGACGUUUUGUUAACGUUUUGUUGACGUUUGGUAUUAUUUUGAUCAACUGCUGGCUGGGUUUCCUACCUACUGCUGUUCAAUAGUCUACGCUGGACAAACUAUACGUGACAGGUGUGAUAAGAAAUGCACAUGCAUCUGUGAAGGAUGAACAAAUUUCUAAUCCCAUAAAAAUAUGGUUGGCACAUGCCAAAGAACGCAUGGAUCGCGAAAGAGAAAAGAAAAGGGGAAGAAACCAAAGAGAUCAGGUACAAAACGAACCUGAUGACGAAGCUGACGAACCUCACGAAUCUGAAGAGACUGAAGAACCCGAAGAACGUCAUUGACAUAGUAUUGAAUCAGUCCGUUAUCGUUACUUAAACCUUUCUCUGCGCAUCGAUGGAUUCAACAUCUCGAUCAUCGAGAUACCAGUAUUGGUCUCGCCUCACAAUAAGUAUUACUGCCGGUCAUUUAUUCGUGUCGCAAGAUGCUGAUCCUUCGCCGCUGAUUACCUACCGGUGUCCUCCUAUCCGUCACGUUCUUAUCGCGCUGUCACGUACCGUCCGUCCUUGAUAAUAAGGAUUCGCUGUCGAGAAGCCAUCAAACGCUAUGACUAUUACUCGCAUCUCGGCCGAUGUGUCGCGACGGCAAUCGCGGUCGUUACCUGUUUACGGACGGUUUUCUUCUAUUUUGUACGCUUAAUUCGGGCCAUAUUUGUAGAUAGAUUGUACGUUCGGAAAAGCUGCUCGACAGCCGCUAGUUUGACCGGCGAUAUCUAAGUUACUACGUCAAACACCGACUAUAGAGGAAUCGAAAUAAGGCACGUGGCUUAUAUUGUAGCGAGUUAGAUAGAAAUUUAGGCGUAAUUUACCUUGAAGUUCGUAUUGGGAAGCGACCGUUUCGAGCAAGGGGACAUCUCACGACAUCCAAUUUUAUUCGUCUUUUAUAUUAGCCUAGAGUCUUCUUGAACAAUAUUACUUAUUGGAUAAGUAUCUCGUGUAUAUGUUCAGAGAAAAUCUUGGUGAUCCUAUGCGAAUCUUCAAAUCUAUUCUUUUACAAAAUUCAAUACUUCUAUUUACCCAUUUCCAAAAUUUUAAUACUUUUAAGAUAAAUGUUUUGGUCGUCGUUUGUAAAUUGCAUGUCGCAGUUGUCCCCUCGCGCAUCACACGCGAAUCACUAUUGCGGCGCAAUCUGUCACUCCGGAUUAAUAAACAUAAGCGAUUCAACACGAUGGUAUGGCCUAUUACUACUGGUAGAGAUGGGCGAUACAGAUAUUUUAGAUAUCGAUACGAUUAACGAUUUGCAUGUAUAUAAAUUUUUCUUGUUGCUACACUGAAAAAAAAAAUUAUUAUUUGCAAGAAAAUAGAUUUCUUUGA
This is a long non-coding RNA of Temnothorax curvispinosus, 1952 nucleotides long. RefSeq lists it as uncharacterized. The transcript has 4 exons. Lineage: Eukaryota; Metazoa; Arthropoda; Insecta; Hymenoptera; Formicidae. The record is from RefSeq and is a predicted model, not a curated record.